AUUAGACGAAUCAUCUGGAAAGAUGAAUCAAAGAAGGUAAUAAUCCUGUAGUCGAAAAUGUUGUCUCUCUUGAGUGGAUCCUGAGUACGACGGAGCACGUGAAAUUCCGUCGGAAUCUGGGAGGACCAUCUCCUAAGGCUAAAUACUCUCUAGUGACCGAUAGUGAACCAGUACCGUGAGGGAAAGGUGAAAAGCACCCCGGAAGGGGAGUGAAAUAGAACCUGAAACCGUGUGCUUACAAGUAGUCAGAGCCCGUUAAUGGGUGAUGGCGUGCCUUUUGUAGAAUGAACCGGCGAGUUACGAUUUGAUGCAAGGUUAAGCAGUAAAUGUGGAGCCGUAGCGAAAGCGAGUCUGAAUAGGGCGUUUAGUAUUUGGUCGUAGACCCGAAACCAGGUGAUCUACCCUUGGUCAGGUUGAAGUUCAGGUAACACUGAAUGGAGGACCGAACCGACUUACGUUGAAAAGUGAGCGGAUGAACUGAGGGUAGCGGAGAAAUUCCAAUCGAACCUGGAGAUAGCUGGUUCUCUCCGAAAUAGCUUUAGGGCUAGCCUCAAGUGAUGAUUAUUGGAGGUAGAGCACUGUUUGGACGAGGGGCCCCUCUCGGGUUACCGAAUUCAGACAAACUCCGAAUGCCAAUUAAUUUAACUUGGGAGUCAGAACAUGGGUGAUAAGGUCCGUGUUCGAAAGGGAAACAGCCCAGACCACCAGCUAAGGUCCCAAAAUAUAUGUUAAGUGGAAAAGGAUGUGGCGUUGCCCAGACAACUAGGAUGUUGGCUUAGAAGCAGCCAUCAUUUAAAGAGUGCGUAAUAGCUCACUAGUCGAGUGACACUGCGCCGAAAAUGUACCGGGGCUAAACAUAUUACCGAAGCUGUGGAUUGUCCUUUGGACAAUGGUAGGAGAGCGUUCUAAGGGCGUUGAAGCAUGAUCGUAAGGACAUGUGGAGCGCUUAGAAGUGAGAAUGCCGGUGUGAGUAGCGAA
This 978-nucleotide ribosomal RNA is filed under the name Staphylococcus aureus. RNAcentral describes it as "partial 23S ribosomal RNA". It matches the Rfam family "Bacterial large subunit ribosomal RNA", at positions 328 to 1313 of the family's 2925-position model. The record is from RNAcentral. Lineage: Bacteria; Bacillati; Bacillota; Bacilli; Caryophanales; Staphylococcaceae.